Molecule: non-coding RNA, 71 nt
Filed under: unclassified sequences
Description: Transposase-2 RNA
Rfam family: Transposase-2 RNA
Source: Rfam by way of RNAcentral
GAAGUGCGAACCAAGCGGGCGCGUAAAAGCGUCGUGAGACUUGGAGCUGGCCUUGGUAACGAGGCCAUGUA